RNAcentral lists this ribosomal RNA (527 nucleotides) under Rhizopus arrhizus. RNAcentral describes it as "eukaryotic LSU rRNA". The stretch from base 178 to 331 matches the Rfam family "5.8S ribosomal RNA". RNAcentral also lists the same sequence under 1 other name. The record is from RNAcentral. Lineage: Eukaryota; Fungi; Mucoromycota; Mucoromycetes; Mucorales; Rhizopodaceae.
UUACCUUAGGGUUUCCUCUGGGGUAAGUGAUUGCUUCUACACUGUGAAAAUUUGGCUGAGAGACUCAGACUGGUCAUGGGUAGACCUAUCUGGGGUUUGAUCGAUGCCACUCCUGGUUUCAGGAGCACCCUUCAUAAUAAACCUAGAAAUUCAGUAUUAUAAAGUUUAAUAAAAAACAACUUUUAACAAUGGAUCUCUUGGUUCUCGCAUCGAUGAAGAACGUAGCAAAGUGCGAUAACUAGUGUGAAUUGCAUAUUCAGUGAAUCAUCGAGUCUUUGAACGCAGCUUGCACUCUAUGGUUUUUCUAUAGAGUACGCCUGCUUCAGUAUCAUCACAAACCCACACAUAACAUUUGUUUAUGUGGUAAUGGGUCGCAUCGCUGUUUUAUUACAGUGAGCACCUAAAAUGUGUGUGAUUUUCUGUCUGGCUUGCUAGGCAGGAAUAUUACGCUGGUCUCAGGAUCUUUUUCUUUGGUUCGCCCAGGAAGUAAAGUACAAGAGUAUAAUCCAGCACUUUCAAACUAUGAU